AACGGCCACGGUAUCCUAACCGUGCGAAGGUAGCAUAAUCACUUGUUCUUUAAAUGGGGACUCGUAUCAAUGGCACCACGAGGGUUACACUGUCUCCUUUCUCAAAUCAGUGAAACUAAUCUCCCCGUGAAGAAGCGGGGAUACCACUAUAAGACGAGAAGACCCCAUGGAGCUUCAAACCCAACUACAACCCCGAUUUUCAUAACCUAACAACCCCUCAGGGCCCUGUAUAGCUGGUUUUGGGUUGGGGCGACCACGGAGCAUAACAAAACCUCCACAAUGAACGGGACCACCCCCUUAUCUAAGAGCAACACCUCUAAGAAUUAGCACACUAACAUAAAAUGAUCCAUUAUUUGAUCAAUGAACCAAGUUACCCUGGGGAUAACAGCGCAAUCUACUUCAAGAGCCCCUAUCGACAAGUGGGUUUACGACCUCGAUGUUGGAUCAGGGUACCCCAGUGGUGCAGCAGCUACUAACGGUUCGUUUGUUCAACGAUUAAAACCCU
This 505-nucleotide ribosomal RNA is filed under the name Mantidactylus albofrenatus. RNAcentral describes it as "partial 16S ribosomal RNA". It matches the Rfam family "Bacterial large subunit ribosomal RNA", at positions 1926 to 2597 of the family's 2925-position model. The record is from RNAcentral. Lineage: Eukaryota; Metazoa; Chordata; Amphibia; Anura; Mantellidae.